UUAGAAGGUUGGCUCAAAUGUACAUAGUUAUUAUUAAAAUGAAUGUUAGUUAUUGUUAAGUUAUUUGGAAUGAUAUGACAGAAUCUUAAUUUUUGGGGUAAACUUUCAAUUUAUUAUUUGGCGGGUGGAGUGUCCUGAAUGUGGUGUCAUUUUGUUAAGAAUUAAAAAAAAUAGUUGUAAAAAAUCUGAACAAUCAAAAAUUUGUUGCCAUAUUUCUUACUGUAUGAGGUCGCGGUGCAAUGCGAAAAUCCCAUUAGAACAAGCUGUGUGUCACAUCGCACCUGGUGUAGACACAGUUUAAUAGAAGCUGGGCUGAGCUUAACUGAACGAUGAGAGAAUAGAGGUAUCUAAUAAACUUACUAACCUUUACAUUGAGGUAAUAUUAGAAACAUCAGGAAAUCCAUUGUUUCUGGCUGGAUGGAGAGCAGGAGCCUGAUGUUAAUGGCUGGAUGGAGAGCAGGAACCUGAUGUUAAUGGCUGGAUGGAGAGCAGGAGCCUGGUGUUAAUGGCUGGAUGGAGAGCAGGAGCCUGAUGUUUCUGGCUGGAUGGAGAGCAGGAGUGUUUUUGCACUAUUCUGUUGCCACUUCUUUUAUGAGAGGACUUUGGAGGUUCACUAGUGCACAGCAUACCUUAACCAGUUUAUCUGCAAAGUGCUGCAAGUGAGAUGGAAUAAAUCAUUUGCCCUCUCUACA
Molecule: long non-coding RNA, 692 nt
Organism: Cyprinus carpio (common carp)
Lineage: Eukaryota; Metazoa; Chordata; Actinopteri; Cypriniformes; Cyprinidae
Source: Ensembl